GAUUUGAUUUGUGAACUUAGCCAGGCACAGUGGUGGCAGGGCCUAGCUGCUACAAAGAAGACAUGUUUUAGACAAUACUCAUGUGUAUGGGCAAAAAACUCGAGGACUGUAUUUGUGACUAACUGUAUAACAGGUUAUUUUAGUUUCUGUUCUGUGGAAAGUGUAAAGCAUUCCAACAAAGGGUUUUAAU
Lynx canadensis (Canada lynx) is the source of this 190-nucleotide long non-coding RNA. RefSeq lists it as uncharacterized. NCBI's taxonomy places the organism in Eukaryota, Metazoa, Chordata, Mammalia, Carnivora, Felidae. The record is from RefSeq and is a predicted model, not a curated record. The transcript is spliced from 3 exons.